CUUGAGCGUGGCGUUAGCGGGGAGGCGCCAGUAGUCGAUGGCGAUGGACGGGGCGGGGACGUUCUCGAUCUUGCCGGCCUCGAGGUCCUUGAGGUACUCGGUGUACGAGUGGAUGGCCUCCUCCUCCAGGUAGCCGACGACGCGGUGCGCGAACUUCGGGGACAGGAGGUAGCCGAGGAAGUAGGCGUUGAAGAAGACGCCCUGGACGGUGAUGACGAGCGCGCGCUCGUACCACCUCGGCUUCGCCACCUCCAUGAAGGUCAUGAGGUGCAUGCGCUCGUUCUCGGCCUCCUCCAGCAGCGCGCGGAUCCAGCCGCCGCUCUGCUCGAAGCGGCGGAGUGAGCGCAGGUGGAGCAGCAUGCCGCCCACCAUCCCGGGCACCGCUGCUACGGUCUCCAGCAUCAUCGCCCGGCAGCCAUACCGCCUCUGCAGAUUCGCCCAAUUCACAGGAUCAGCUUACAACAGUACAGGAAUAAUAAUCGAUCUUUCACAACCUUUGAAAAUAUUCAGAUCAUUUGCACAUGCAUCUACGAACGAAAAUUCUUCUAAAAGCCAUAUCAAAAAGAUGAAUUGCUAAUACAAACAAAUAUUAUCAAGCCUGUAUUUUAUUACUGGGCUCCCAUGCCAUAAAUCCGUUUGCUGAUGUCCUUGUCAGUUUCACUAUCCACCUUCGUCCAUAGAAUAUAAAAUCGUUUUCCAUAAGUGCUCGAUGUAAACUACUCAAUUUCAUCCACGUUGCAAAUUGCAAAUACAAAGUUGCGACUUCCCGGAAAUCAGGAGCACAGAAAAAAAUCCAGGAGCCACAAUAUACUUAACCCCCAUGCUACGACAUGUACUAGUGAGGUCGGUAUCUAGUGGUCCAACUAAUUAGAAACGCCGAACUGAUCAUCCGCCACGCUAUGGAACAGAGAGAGCAAUGGAUUGUGCGCGCGCGCGCGUGCACGAACCUGGAAGAAGAUGUCCGUGGGGAAGCGUAGUGACUUGACGGUCCAGUAGGCGAUCUUAUCCAUCAGCGUCUUGGGCUCAUGGUGCCUGGUGAGGUCAAUGGACGUGUCCGCCGUGUACGUCUCCCAUGGCUGCAACAAAAUCGCAACAGAUUAAUCACGCACAAUUAGCGCAGAUCGAUCCACCGCCGGGACGAAUUAACCGCAAAGCAAGGACAAAUAAACUGAACAAUGAUCAAAGCGAGGCGGAAGGCAGCGGGGCGCGCGUACCCUAAAGCAAGUCCACUUCCACUCGGUGCCGUCGUCCCGCACCAGCUUGUUGUUUUGCUCGAUCCCCCAGUAGCUGUUGAUCACCACCGCCUUCUUGUCCCCUCCCUCCUUGGAGGCCUUGGCUGCCUCGUCCUUCGCCUCCGAGGCGGCGGCGGGGGAGGACGUGGACAUCAGGCGUAACAUGACUGCCUGGACACCGUUGUUGCUCCCGCCGGCGAGCAAUGGCCUCGAGGCCGCCGCCGGUGAGACCGCCGCUGCGGUGAAUAGACGGGAGCCGGCGUGGCGGAGGAGGAUGGAUCCGGCCCUGGAGCUCAUCAUCGCUCGUUGAUCGCCGCGUGGGAGAAGUUGCGAAUUUACGAUCGCCGCCGCCUGGGAUGGGGGAAGUGAAUCGUUGGUGGGCCACCUGUUUUGACGUGGGUUGCAGUUUGGAAAUGUGGCGGAUGUUUUGGGGAGGACUUUUAUAUAGGACUGGUGGGUCCGCCCCGUCAGUGAUGGGGGAAGGUGCCUUGCUUCCCCGGGCUUCCAGAAACCCAGGAGAGCCUUUCUUCUUCUCCAAGUCGAAUGGUUUUAAUUCCCGUGAUUUUUUUUUUCUUAUGGUUGGAAACAGCCUGUGUCAUUAAGGUUCACGUGUGUGCACGCUAAAACCUGUAUCUGCGUUUGUGAUGCGAAAUUGGUACACGCAUCAGAUCUCUCUACAUGACAUAUGCAAGCUUGUAAGAUUUUUUUUUCUUUUAUUUCCCUGAGUGGUGACAAUAAAAAUACUAGAUUGCUUGUAAAUAAAACUGCUUGAUACGUUUUAAUGGGAUUAUUUUGUAAUGUUUCGGUUGAAAAUAUUCCGUUCACACCAUUGGAUUGUCAUAUCCUGAUAUCCAUGGUACGAACUAUGAAGUACGGAGUAGUUAGUACUUGUAGUUGUAGUACAUGUGGAGUAUAAGAAGAGAAAGCAAAGCAAAACGGUACUACAUGAUGGUUUCCGACUUUCCGUUCUGUUGUUUAUUUUGUCUUGUGGACCAAGAAAGACUCUAGCGGUCCAGCUUCGAGCGACCCCAGACCAAAACUUUGUCGGUCAAAUGUGGCAAGUACUGAAUUUAGGAUGUUUUUCUUCUAUAUACGGCGAGUUUUUUUUUGCAUUUAUUUAUAGAUCAUAAUUCAACCGUAUAUAAUGUGAGUACAAGAUGAUAUAUUAUAUAUAUACUUGAGUUCGGCCAGGAAACUUCCUGGGCCUUGCUUAAUUAAUCUUUGCUGGCAUUGAUUGUAUUUGCCACGCAAACGUAGCAUUAUUAUACUAGCUCCGUUCUCUAGCUUCUAGCUUCUUGAUUUUUUGGGUGGAGUGAUAUUUCUAAGUUAAUUUCAGUGGAGUAGGGUGGAUAAAUAAGUGAGACUUGAUUCACUCACGAAUGAUUUUAGUGGAGAUUGAAUAUGAAGUAGUGAGAAGCAGAUUUUUUUUUUUAGUUCUCAGCUUUCAAUGUAAAUGGAGAUAAGAUCAUUACCUAAUCUCCGAUAAAACCUCUAUGCAACUUUGAUGUUUGACGACAAGAAAUGAUUCUCGCACUACUACAUAAAAAAAAUUUCGUGGCCUUUCGAAAAUAGCCUCGGAGGUGGGCAGUUUCUUCAACCGCCUCGGUUAAUGCUUCGGAUUAACCGAGGCGGACAUUUCUUAUUAACCGAGGCGGCCAAAAAAAGUGCCUCACAAAAUCAAUUUACCGAGGUGGUCAUCUUAAGACAACUGCCUCUAAAAAUAGUUUAUUUUCGGAGGCGAUCAUCUUAUAACAACCACCUUUGUAAAUCUAUUAACCGAAGGCGGGCGCGCUAUAAGGCCCGUCUCGGAAAAUGUGGCCCAAUAGGUGGCCCAUUUCAGCCCGGUAUCACUUAUCGUAUAUAAACGAAGAGCUAGGGUUUUUUCUCACAGGCAGCGCCCCCUCCCCUUCCCUUCUCUCCCACUCCUCUCCCUCCCUCCCUUCCUCUCUCUUAUUCACGGCGCUCCCUACCCUUCCCUUCUCUCCCACUUCUCUCUUUAUUCUCUAGAUUCACGGCACCUCUUUCUCCACUUCGCGAGGCGGCGCAUGAGCAUGCCCAGGGUGAUGCACGGGUUGGUCCUUCAAGGCGUCGUGGGGGCGACCAUGGCGCGGACGGCGAUGCCCCCUCCUCUCUAACCCUGCGGCGCCCCCUCCCCUCCAGGUGACGAGCCCCUCCCCUCCCCCGUGCCAGAUCCGGCAAGGAGGUUGGUUGUUGCGCCUAGAUCCAGGUGACGAGCCCCCUCCCCUCCCUCUCUUUCUCUCUCUGGACCUCUCUCACCCUCUCUCUCUCUGGCAGGGCCCUCUCUAUGGCGGUGCAUGGAGCAGCGCCGCCCUGCUCCUUCGCGGGGCGAGCUCCUCCUUCGAGCGGUGGAGACAGUGGUCAGAUCGACGAACGUCGACACAGAUCCGAUGGUGGGAAGCUAGAGCCGGCUCUAGGAGGCUAGAUCCACCGGCAGGCGAGCGGAUCUUGGUGCUAUGCGUAGUCCGGCAUGGAUUUAGGCACCGGCGAAUGGCGGCGUCGGCAACAGGGCAUGGAUGGGCUCAGCGGGCCCAUAGAUGGGCUCGUUGGGCUUAUCCAUGGGUUUUUUUUGUUUUUUAUCCGGUUUACCGUGGCGGGCAACGGACUGCCUCGGAAAAGGUCACAUUAGCCGUGACCUUUGAUUCGAGGCGGUUGCAAAAACCGUCUCGGUUAAGGGAUUUUGUCCGCCUUGGAAAACAAAUAUUGUAGUAGUGUCGCAGAGGUUCACCCAAAAACCAAAAACUUUUUAAGAUUUCUCGUCACAUCAAAUCUUGCGGCAUAUACAUGGAGCAUUAAAUAUAGAUAGAAACAAAAACUGAUUGCACAGUUUGCCUAUAAAUCGCGAGACGAAUCUUUUAAGCAUAACUAGUCCAUGAUUAGACAAUGUUUGGCAAUCUUUUUAGAUUUUGACACUGUAGCACUUUCGCUUAUAUUUGACAAACAGUGUCCAAUUAUAAACUAACUAGAUUGAAAAGACUCAUCUCGAUAAACUGUGCAAUUAAUUAUUUUUUAUUUAUAUUUAUACUCUAUACGUAUAUGUAUGUCGUAAAUUUUAAUGUAAUGAAGAAUCUUAUAAAAGCACUUAGCCGCCCGCUAGCAUGCAGUAGCAGGAAAAGAGAGAUAGCAGCUGAGUGUGCGUAUACUACUGUAUGUAAUCAUCACGCAAUCAUUAUUUAAACACACGUCACUGUUCUCGAAAAAAAAGGAUUGCCUACUGUCUACCGCACCAAAAAAGGUCACAUCCACGGUUCAAUUUCUGAACAGUUUCCAACCGCCGCAAACUCCCUUCGUCGACGUCCCCGGCCCGUCUCCGUCUCGUCCAAUUCGAUUAUGAAAAACUACAUAAAAUCUCUAGAAGUAUAUCAAGUUACUCACGUGUAACAUUAUAAAACAUAAUCAUAAGUAACCUUAAAUUUGCAUAUAAUUAUUCAUCUAUCACUAUUAUAGAUAAUCUAAAUAAUCUUUUAAAUUUGUGUCUAUUGCCACUUUCCAUUACAAAUAAAUAAAUAAAUAAAUAUCACAUCAAAUCUAUAUUAAAUUACCAAUAUAUUGUUCUUUUAAAUGAAUUUAUUGGUUAGUUGAAGCUUUGGCAUAUCUAUAUUGAUAGUGUAAUUAUAAAAAAACUGUUUUUAUAAUAAAAAUAUCACUACACAUACAAUUCUUUGAUAAGAAAAUUUAAAUAUUUUGACCAGUGGGAGAGGUUAGUGCAAAUUAAAGAAUAAAAAUGGCUACAUCGUCCUUUUUUGGCGUUUGAGACUUUUUUUAAAGAAAAUAGUUACUAUAAUGGUUAAAUAUUAAUAUCCUCGUGAGAUUAGCAUGACUGUCCUUUCCUAGAUCUGACUUAAAAGAGCAAGGUAAUGUAGUUUUAAAUGGUUGUUUAUGACAUUUUUUUACUUCAGAGUGAACCCAGUUAGGAUCUAAAAUCCUUAUAAUGCACACGAUGUAAGUUUGAGAAAUCACCUCAUCGAGUCAUCGUGGAUGAAACAAAUUCAUCCCAAACUGAAGCCCAUGAAUUUAUGUUGGACGGUGUUGUGUUCUCCAUGCUAAUGCAGUGAGGUGGUGAUUAUUUCUCAGAACAUUUUAAUAGAUACCUUCGAUAAUAUUUACAACACGACAAGCCACACAAGCUUCCACUCAAAAAAAAGGACAAGCCACACGAGCAUGUAUAUAACACUUCACUACUAAAAAACAUUAUCAUAAUCGGUUCUAAAUAAACCUCAACAUAUGCUCUCAAACAUCCGUACCAUCUCAGCUACACAAAUACUUGUAACUAUAGAACUAAUAUUAUUCUAACUUCACAUUUACAAAUCUUGCAUUGUAUUUGACACCCUAAAAUUAAAGAUCUCAAAUAAAAAGGUUGUUAACACACUGUAAAGUGUAGAUCUGGUCAAGUACUACAAUUUUAAUAUUGAUUUUGGCUCCAUUCGAGAUUGUAUCAACCAUCCUAAAUCUGGUCUGAGAACUUAUAUUAAAUAUUUAAACAUAUAACUCAUCUCGAAUCAAAAAGUUUUCAACUAUGAAUUUUAGAAAUAUCUUUAAACUCUAUAAUUUUUCUAUAAAGUUUGUUUUGAUCCGACUUCAUAUGAAAAAAUGUAAUCGGUUGCUCAAUGGGUGCCCAUGGAUGCUUGGUGGGGAUAGUCUCCACCUAUUUUUUUUUCGUUUUUUGGAGUAGUGUUUGUUUGGUUAUACUUCAACCCGCACUAAUCCGUAUAGGUUAGGAGAGAUUGAAAUUUCAUUUCUGGUUGUACUCUGAUACACCCAAUUCACAUGGGUUGAAAGAAAUCAAGAUAAUAAAAAAAGUUUUAUUUUUCACCUCAAUCUGUUCCAACCGAAUCCUUCACGUGGCACAAAAUACCGAUUAUUUAUUAGAGUCGAGAAAAUCAGAUUCGAUCAUCAUGUGGCACAAAAUACAUAUUACUCCCUCCAUCCCAAAUUAUAAGUCAUUCUAAGAAUCUUGGAGAGUCAAACUUUUCUAAAUUUGACCAAAUUUAUAUUAUAAAAUAAUAAUUAUUAUGGUACUAACUAAGUAUCAUUAGAUUCUUUCUUAAUUAUAUUUUCAUAGUACACUUUACGUUACAAAUCUUAGUAUUUUUCUCUAUAAUUUUGGUCAAACGUAAAAAUGUUUUGACUCUACAAGAUUCUUGAAAUGACUUACAAUUUGACAUGGAGGGAGUAUUUGGUAGUUAUUUACACAAAUAAUGCAGACAAAUUUAUCACAAACAAGGCAGUAGGUCAAUUAACAUCAUGACCGGCCCGUAAUACAAGCGACAUUGAUAAACUAGCGGGCCACGUUGACUAAAUUAGUGGUACCCGAGUGGCGCAGGCGUGUCCCGCAAAUCAGACUCGAUUAUAGCAUGUGACAUAAAUAAUGCAGAUCACAAACAAGGCAGUAGGUUAAUUAUUAACAAUCAUGAAGCAGGCCACGUUGACUAAUUAGUGGUACCCGAGAGGCGCAGGCGUGUCCUUCAGCUUCAUCCCCUGGUAAUGGAUGUCCUGCAAUGCAAUCCAAUCCAAUGAAAUCGCGAUUAAUUAGUUGAGAUCUGUCAAACUUGUCCACAAAAAGCAGGUGAAUUCUUGCAAGGCAGCCGCCGUACCGAUGCGAAGUGGUUGACAUCGCGGUGGUGCGCCUCGUCGGCGCGCACGACGGUGACGACGUCCUUGAGCUUGGCGUCGGCGGGGAGGCGCCAGUAGUCGAUGGCGAUGGCGGGCGCCGGGGUGUUCUCGAUGACGCCGGCCUCCAGGUCCUUGAGGUACUCGGUGUACGAGUGCACGGCCUCCUCCUCGAGGUAGCCGACGAAGCGGUGCGCGAACUUGGGCGAGGCGAGGUAGGCGACGAAGUAGGCGUUGAAGAAGACGCCCUGCGCGGCGAGCACG
Molecule: long non-coding RNA, 7124 nt
Filed under: Sorghum bicolor (sorghum)
Lineage: Eukaryota; Viridiplantae; Streptophyta; Magnoliopsida; Poales; Poaceae
Description: long non-coding RNA (SBIC_LNC011401)
Source: RNAcentral